RNAcentral lists this ribosomal RNA (490 nucleotides) under uncultured bacterium. RNAcentral describes it as "bacterial SSU rRNA". It matches the Rfam family "Bacterial small subunit ribosomal RNA", at positions 28 to 507 of the family's 1533-position model. The record is from RNAcentral.
GAUGAACGCUAGCUACAGGCUUAACACAUGCAAGUCGAGGGGCAGCAUGUCGGUUGCUUGCAACCGACGAUGGCGACCGGCGCACGGGUGAGUAACGCGUAUCCAACCUACCCUUGUCCAUCGGAUAACCCGUCGAAAGGCGGCCUAACACGAUAUGCGGUUCACAGCAGGCAUCUAAGGUGAACGAAAUGUGAAGGAGAAGGAUGGGGAUGCGUCUGAUUAGCUUGUUGGCGGGGUAACGGCCCACCAAGGCGACGAUCAGUAGGGGUUCUGAGAGGAAGGUCCCCCCACAUUGGAACUGAGACACGGUCCAAACUCCUACGGGAGGCAGCAGUGAGGAAUAUUGGUCAAUGGGCGAGAGCCUGAACCAGCCAAGUAGCGUGAGGGAUGACUGCCCUAUGGGUUGUAAAACCUCUUUUGUUUGGGAAUAACGUGCGGGACGGGUCCUGUUUUGCAUGUACCUUAUGAAUAAGGACCGGCUAAUUCCGUG